Molecule: long non-coding RNA, 1219 nt
Organism: Triticum aestivum (bread wheat)
Lineage: Eukaryota; Viridiplantae; Streptophyta; Magnoliopsida; Poales; Poaceae
Exons: 2
Source: RefSeq, a predicted model, not a curated record
UAUAGGUAAUAAAGUUCUCUGGGUGCCAAAGCUGAUCGGAAGUUCCCUGCUGAUUGUGAUUGAUUCAUGUGUCAGAUUAUCUGGUGCUGGUUCUGAGUAGUAGGUUUGAUGAUUCUAAGUAGCAACUGCUGCCUAUCUUACUCAAUAGGAAUCCCUGAAUUUUUUAAAUCCAUCUGACAGAGGAACUUGUUUUCUGUUCCAGCACGAUGCACAGCAUCACAGCGACGGGACCUCAAAGUCUAGAGACAGGGAUAGAGAACGCUACGAUGACAAGCACAGGAACUCAGGAAGUGUGUAAGGCGGCGCCAUGGGAGAGAUAGGGAGAGGUACCAGGACAGGGAGAGUGUACGGAACCGAGACCAUGGUCGCCAUCAUCGAGCGCAUCGUGAAAGAAGGCAGCACCAUGAUCGUUCGACGAUCAUGACUAUCGCCGCUGUAGCAGUGAUCGUGAUGCUUAAAGAAGAGACCCCGAUAGAGAUGACCACAGAAGGAAUCGUUCACACUCCCGUUCGAAGAGUCCAAGGUAUGUGUUCGAUGCCUUCCAAAGUGUAUUAUUUGCAUUCUGGUUAAUGCUGUAAGCAAUAGGUUUGUUUGAUUACUUUGAAUCAAACAUGUGGUUUCCUGGAAUCAACUAGCAUGUGAUUUUGAUUCACUAAGUGUGAUUUUUGUAUGCCGUUAGUUAUUUGUUUUGUAUGGCCGGGAAGUUGACAGAACAGAAUGUGUUGGACAAAUUUGAACAAGUAAUUGUGAAUGCAGUUGGUACAGAUCUCGUCAAGUUGUCAAGUAUGGUUUGCUCUUUCUUAUUUAUAUUGUUAGGCAUCUCAGUUUCCUUACUGUAAUGCUCUAUUCUCCUCCAUUUGCUCAACUGGUUACUAACUCUUCUGAAUUGAAGCAGCAAAAGCUUGAGUGGAUUUGACCAGGGACCUUCACAAGCAUGCUUGCGAACAUACUUACUUUACCCAUUCCAGGAGAGGUGACUAGUGGCGACUACGAUCCUUUUUAAGAUCCAAUGUUGCUAGUUCUCAAACAAUGGAUGGUUCAUUCACUUGCUUCACUCUGAUUUUCAAUUUAUCUGGUGAUGGCAGAAUUAAGUGUCUGUGACACUUAAAUUCCUUAUUAUUUUGUGAUGUUUCAAUAUUGCUUUCUAAUACUUGCUAUUCAGCCAUCCCUGCUGAGUCAUGUAUGUAUGUAUGCAGAAAUGGAGAUAUCAUGCACUGGA